AUGGUACUCCCUCCGUCCAAAAAAGCUUGUCUCUCAAAUGGAUGUAUCUAGCACCAAAUUAGUAUUAGAUACAUCCAUUUGAAGGACAAGCUUGGGACAAGCUUUUCCGGACGGACGGAGUAGUAA
Molecule: non-coding RNA, 126 nt
Organism: Triticum aestivum (bread wheat)
Lineage: Eukaryota; Viridiplantae; Streptophyta; Magnoliopsida; Poales; Poaceae
Source: Rfam